CUGUUUCCUUUUCUUGCUUCGCCUUGCGCACAUUCUCUACUUGUAGACAAUCUGCAAUUACCCACAUUAUAACAGCCACUUCCACAAAAUAUGACCCUGUCUCCUGCCAACCCUAUCUCUUCCAACCAACUUACCCACCAAUCCUUGCCAUCCAGCAUUCCAAUGGUUAACCUAUCAUCCAUGUUUCAUCCAAAUCUGGUUCGUUCCAUCAUAACAAUAUUCCAUUUCAUCUCCGCCAUCACCCUAUUCCAUCCAAG
Molecule: long non-coding RNA, 257 nt
Filed under: Theobroma cacao (cacao)
Lineage: Eukaryota; Viridiplantae; Streptophyta; Magnoliopsida; Malvales; Malvaceae
Description: long non-coding RNA (TCAC_LNC002245)
Source: RNAcentral